This 22-nucleotide microRNA is filed under the name Drosophila melanogaster (fruit fly). RNAcentral's name for it is "dme-miR-4950-3p". The record is from miRBase by way of RNAcentral. Lineage: Eukaryota; Metazoa; Arthropoda; Insecta; Diptera; Drosophilidae.
UUUCAAGAUGCAUGGUAAGGCU